GAGGGUAGAGCUCAGUGGUAGAUCAUGUGCUUAGCAUGUAUAAGGUCCUGGGUUCAAUCCCCAGUACCUCCA
RNAcentral lists this transfer RNA (72 nucleotides) under Camelus bactrianus (Bactrian camel). It matches the Rfam family "tRNA". Rfam says of the family: Transfer RNA (tRNA) molecules are approximately 80 nucleotides in length. Their secondary structure includes four short double-helical elements and three loops (D, anti-codon, and T loops). The record is from Rfam by way of RNAcentral. RNAcentral also lists the same sequence under 2 other names. Lineage: Eukaryota; Metazoa; Chordata; Mammalia; Artiodactyla; Camelidae.